RNAcentral lists this ribosomal RNA (404 nucleotides) under Bacillota bacterium. RNAcentral's name for it is "Firmicutes bacterium partial 16S ribosomal RNA". It matches the Rfam family "Bacterial small subunit ribosomal RNA", at positions 355 to 776 of the family's 1533-position model. Lineage: Bacteria; Bacillati; Bacillota. The record is from RNAcentral.
UGGGGAAUAUUGCACAAUGGGGGAAACCCUGAUGCAGCGACGUCGCGUGAAGGAAGAAGUAUCUCGGUAUGUAAACUUCUAUCAGCAGGGAAGAUAAUGACGGUACCUGACUAAGAAGCCCCGGCUAACUACGUGCCAGCAGCCGCGGUAAUACGUAGGGGGCAAGCGUUAUCCGGAUUUACUGGGUGUAAAGGGAGCGUAGACAGCGCAGCAAGUCUGAUGUGAAAGGCAGGGGCUUAACCCCUGGACUGCAUUGGAAACUGCUGUGCUUGAGUGCCGGAGGGGUAAGCGGAAUUCCUAGUGUAGCGGUGAAAUGCGUAGAUAUUAGGAGGAACACCAGUGGCGAAGGCGGCUUACUGGACGGUAACUGACGUUGAGGCUCGAAAGCGUGGGGAGCAAACAGG